This 433-nucleotide ribosomal RNA is filed under the name uncultured bacterium. RNAcentral's name for it is "partial 16S ribosomal RNA". It matches the Rfam family "Bacterial small subunit ribosomal RNA", at positions 29 to 507 of the family's 1533-position model. The record is from RNAcentral.
AGCGAACGCUGGCGGCAGGCCUAACACAUGCAAGUCGAACGAACUCUUCGGAGUUAGUGGCGGACGGGUGAGUAACACGUGGGAACGUGCCUUUUGGUUCGGAAUAACUCAGGGAAACUUGUGCUAAUACCGAAUGUGCCCUUCGGGUGAAAGAUUUAUCGCCAUUAGAGCGGCCCGCGUCUGAUUAGCUAGUUGGUGAGGUAACGGCUCACCAAGGCGACGAUCAGUAGCUGGUCUGAGAGGAUGACCAGCCACACUGGGACUGAGACACGGCCCAGACUCCUACGGGAGGCAGCAGUGGGGAAUCUUGCGCAAUGGGCGAAAGCCUGACGCAGCCAUGCCGCGUGAAUGAUGAAGGUCUUAGGAUUGUAAAAUUCUUUCACCGGGGACGAUAAUGACGGUACCCGGAGAAGAAGCCCCGGCUAACUUCGUG